Small nucleolar RNA from Sceloporus undulatus (fence lizard), 136 nucleotides. NCBI's taxonomy places the organism in Eukaryota, Metazoa, Chordata, Lepidosauria, Squamata, Phrynosomatidae. The record is from RefSeq and is a predicted model, not a curated record.
UUGGCCCUGAAUCAAGGCUGGUGGCUUGCUGUAGCUGCUGGUUUCAAGCAGGAGCCCAAAGAAAUGGCUUCCUGUGGUCUGUUGGCUGUUCCAUAAUGUCAUACUGGAACAGUCAAUUCAGUUGGAAGCAACAACC